GCGGGGGUUCGGCCCUGGGCUUUUCCCUCUUCGCUCGCCGCUACUAGGGGAAUCCUGGUUAGUUUAUUUUCCUCCGCUUACUGAUAUGCUUAAGUUCAGCGGGUUGUCUCGUCUGAUCUGAGGUCGUAUUCGAGAUUGGUUGUGGUGUGGCCUGCCUUCCCAGAGAGUUAACAAGUGUCUGCUGAAAUAUGUUUUAAAUGAUUUACACUUUGUUAGUGAUUCAGCCUAAGUAAUACAGCUACAGUAGUUAUAUCAAGGUCAACUACAAGUAACACUUAUGAUUUGUUCAAACCGAAGAAAA
This is a long non-coding RNA of Gadus morhua (Atlantic cod), 301 nucleotides long. RefSeq lists it as uncharacterized. The record is from RefSeq and is a predicted model, not a curated record. Lineage: Eukaryota; Metazoa; Chordata; Actinopteri; Gadiformes; Gadidae. The transcript is spliced from 3 exons.